Long non-coding RNA from Cebus imitator (Panamanian white-faced capuchin), 2131 nucleotides. RefSeq lists it as uncharacterized. The record is from RefSeq and is a predicted model, not a curated record. The transcript is spliced from 6 exons. NCBI's taxonomy places the organism in Eukaryota, Metazoa, Chordata, Mammalia, Primates, Cebidae.
GUUUUUAGUAGAGAUGGGGUUUCUUCACGUUGAUGAGGCUAGUUUCGAACUCCCGAUCUCAAGUGAUCCACCUGCCUCAGCCUCCCAAAGUGGUGGGAUUACAGAUGUGAGCCACCACACCUGGCUGUGAUUAACUUCUAGCCAGUGAAAAUAUGAAUGGAAAUUGGAAAUGAUGUGCUCAUUUUUAGGGUUAAUGAAGUCCCCCUAUUCUCCCCUACUCUUUUUUUGUCAACUUGAUGCCUCUGAGCAUGGUGACAAUGAAAACAACAUAUUGGAGAUUCCAAAGGCAGAAAAGAGAGGAAUGAGUGGCUGAAACACUACUUGGAAGAGAGCCAUCCCAAUUAGAAACACUCCUUUUUGGACUUCUUAUAUGAGAAAAAAAUUUAGAUUUGAGAAUUUAUAUGCAUAGGAGCUAGAAUGACCAUAGCUAGUCCAGAAAUUGGUACCAGAAGUGUAGUAAUGCCAAGACAAUAACCUAAAGUAUGUUACAUCAACUUACUUAUGAUGCAGCAAGUGGUAGAGAAUGUGAUUUGGAGGCUGGAAAAAGGAGGCCUGUGUUUUCAAUGGCGAAGUAAUUAGUAAAACUGUCACCUGGAAUAAUUCAAAAUCAGAUCACCUAUCUGUUGAGAUUAGCUCCAGAGAAAAUGAUUGAAAAGAGCAAAAGUAAUACUACGUGUUGAAUUUUAUAUUUUACUUUUAAUAAAGUUUUACUAAAGUGAGAGUGUACAGGAAUAUUUCUUUGGAAGGGUUGAAAAAGGUGACUUUUUUUAGACUUCUAACAAAAAAAACUAGGAGAGGUUUUGAGUUAUAGUUACCCUUGAGAUUAAGUCCUGCAACAAAGAUCAGGAAAAGGAUUUGGUCUUUCCAUUCAACGUCAUUAUUUCAGGUGGCUUCAAGAUAGCUAUGAUAAAGAUCUAGAGGAAGUUGCAUAGGAGCAGGGAAUCAAAGCAGUAAAUUAGGCUUGAUAAUUAUUUGAGAAAGAACUUUGGGUAUAGUUACUAGAAGCACUUCAAUCAGAAGACUACAUUUUUAGAGGAAUUUUAUUACUAAUCUUACUAAAUCUGGUUCAUAUAUUGUUCAGGUGUUAAAACAGUGGGUAACUAUCCAACCUCAGUCUUGCAUAAGUAGAAAAUAGAGCAUAAAAGCUUAACAGCUCCCCAGUACCCACAUAGAAUGUGUCUUUGGAGAAUGAUGGACAAAAAAAAGAACAUUUCAGAAGUUCCUGUCGGGAACUGUAGAAAAGAAUGGACAGGGAGUUUCUCCUGAAAACUAGAAUUGGGGUCUCAUCAAAACUUUCUUUAGUCUCAAGGAGAUGGGCGGCAAAAUGCUUAUACAGUAUUUCAUUAUUAUUAUACUGCAUAUAUUGCUCAGUGUCACAUUUUUCUUUUCUGAAUGAGAGUGUAUUAUGGUUGUGUGUCUCUGAGCUACCACUGUAUAUUGGGUUUGCAGGGACGGGGGUGACGAUGAAGACAAUUUGUCUUUUUAGUUCUUAGGUCACAUCUGUACCUAAUGAAGAGAACUGCGCAUUUUCUGAAAAUCCUAGACUUUGAGCCUUUUCCAGUGACUGGAUAAAGCUUUAGAUUGUCUCCCUUGGGACAGGAGUUUGACUCUUUUGGUCAACAAUAACUUGGCACCCAAACGUGUUGAUUCAGAGAAGGCUCAGGACCCCAAAGGAAUUACCCAAAGUUGGAGCUAAGGUACCAGCAGAGGCCCAUUGAAAGCCUCCCCAACUUCAAGCUUCUCAUUCAGUGGCACUGGAAACUUUCUAAUUAUGUGAGGAGCUGCUAGAUUCUACAGUGCCGGAUAGACAGCUCCCAUGAGCUGUUUGGCUUGUGAAUGGCAUUUCCAAGGAAACCAAAAUUAUGACAUUCUGAAGACCAGAGAUGCUAAUCUCCCUCAUUUGGCAUCCCACUGGCCCAGAUCUGUUUUCCACUGCAAAUGCUCUGCUCCCAAAACUAUACAAGCACUCCCCCUUUAGGCCCAGGAAUGGUCAUAGAAGAGGCUUGCUAAAAUUGAUAUCCUUGAGUUCUAUCAAUUCUGGGACAGAGAACAAAUUGUCUCGCCUGCAAGGAUGGAGGGACAGUGAGGAAUUUGCCAAGACAGAGUCUUGUUUCAUCACCAGGUGCCACGC